RNAcentral lists this signal recognition particle RNA (247 nucleotides) under bovine gut metagenome. RNAcentral describes it as "Bacterial large signal recognition particle RNA". It matches the Rfam family "Bacterial large signal recognition particle RNA". From Rfam's summary of the family: The signal recognition particle (SRP) is a universally conserved ribonucleoprotein involved in the co-translational targeting of proteins to membranes. Archaeal SRP consists of a 7S RNA and homologues of the eukaryotic SRP19 and SRP54 proteins. The record is from RNAcentral.
CGCACUAGACGGAGAGGUAGCGGUGCUCUGUAACCUGCAAUCCGCUAUAGCAGGGUUGAAUUCCCCAAAGCGGGCGGGUCGGGGCGCGGCCUGCCCCGAAAAGGCGGUGUUGAAGGUUGGACCCUUCGCAAUAAAGCCUCGUGAACCCUGUCAGGUCCGGAAGGAAGCAGCAGUAAGCGAGUCACUUUAUGUGCCGGAGGACCAUCUGACCGGAGCUGCUGAUUCGGGUAACGCGCGUGUCGGCUCG